UACGAGGGGAGCAAGCGUUGUUCGGAAUCAUUGGGCGUAAAGGGCGCGUAGGCGGCAGUACAAGUCUGGGGUGAAAGCCCUCGGCUUAACCGAGGAAUUGCCUUGGAAACUGUACAGCUUGAGUAUUGGAGAGGAAAGCGGAAUUCCCAGUGUAGCGGUGAAAUGCGUAGAUAUUGGGAGGAACACCGGUGGCGAAGGCGGCUUUCUGGACAAUCACGGACGCUGAGGCGCGAAAGCCAGGGGAGAAAACGGG
Molecule: ribosomal RNA, 253 nt
Filed under: uncultured bacterium
Lineage: Bacteria
Description: partial 16S ribosomal RNA
Rfam family: Bacterial small subunit ribosomal RNA
Source: RNAcentral